UACGGAGGGUGCGAGCGUUAAUCGGAAUAACUGGGCGUAAAGGGCACGCAGGCGGGCUUUUAAGUGAGGUGCGAAAUCCCCGGGCUUAACCUGGGAAUGGCAUCUAAGACUGGUUAGCUAGAGUCUGGUAGAGGGGGGUAGAAUUCCAUGUGUAGCGGUGAAAUGCGUAGAGAUGUGGAGGAAUACCGAAGGCGAAGGCAGCCCCUUGGGAAUGUACUGACGCUCAUGUGCGAAAGCGUGGGGAGCAAACAGG
This 253-nucleotide ribosomal RNA is filed under the name uncultured bacterium. RNAcentral describes it as "partial 16S ribosomal RNA". It matches the Rfam family "Bacterial small subunit ribosomal RNA", at positions 524 to 776 of the family's 1533-position model. The record is from RNAcentral.